UGGCGGACGGGUGAGUAACGCGUAGGAAUCUACCCAGUAGCGGGGGAUAACUACUCGAAAGAGUGGCUAAUACCGCAUACGCCCUACGGGGGAAAGGGGGGGAUCGCAAGACCUCUCACUAUUAGAGCGGCCGAUAUCGGAUUAGCUAGUUGGUGAGGUAAAGGCUCACCAAGGCGACGAUCCGUAGCUGGUUUGAGAGGACGACCAGCCACACUGGGACUGAGACACGGCCCAGACUCC
This 240-nucleotide ribosomal RNA is filed under the name uncultured bacterium. Its description in RNAcentral is "partial 16S ribosomal RNA". It matches the Rfam family "Bacterial small subunit ribosomal RNA", at positions 96 to 339 of the family's 1533-position model. The record is from RNAcentral.